This 406-nucleotide ribosomal RNA is filed under the name uncultured bacterium. RNAcentral describes it as "partial 16S ribosomal RNA". It matches the Rfam family "Bacterial small subunit ribosomal RNA", at positions 30 to 526 of the family's 1533-position model. The record is from RNAcentral.
AUUGAACGCUGGCGGCAGGCUUAACACAUGCAAGUCGAGCGAGCGGCGGACGGGUGAGUAAUGUCUGGGAAACUGCCUGAUGGAGGGGGAUAACUCCUGGAAACGGUAGCUAAUACCGCAUACCAUCGGAUGUGCCCAGAUGGGAUUAGCUAGUAGGUGGGGUAAUGGCUCACCUAGGCGACGAUCCCUAGCUGGUCUGAGAGGAUGACCCGCCACACUGGAACGGAGACACGGUCCAGACUCCUACGGGAGGCAGCAGUGGGUAAUAUUGCACAAUGGGCGAAAGCCUGAUGCAGCAAUGCCGCGUGUGUGAAGAAGGCCUUCGGGUUGUAAAGUACUUUCAGCGAGGAGGCGUUACGCGCAGAAGAAGCACCGGCUAACUCCGUGCCAGCAGCCGCGGUAAUUC